ACAUGAACAUGAAGAAUCCAAAAGAUAUAUAUAAACAAACUCACAAAUAUCUAUACGUUCGUAUGAGACAGUGAAAAUAAAUGUACCACCAACGUCAACGUUCAUCCCAAUGGGUAACCCAACGCUCGUAUCGGUAAGUGAAAACAAAUGAAUCACCAGGUCAUGCAUUCUUCUAAGUGGCGUUCGUAUGAGACAGUGAAACAAAUGUACCGCCACAACAUGUGUUUGUCCCAAUGGGAUGUAAACAAAACGCCUGUAUUAGACACAAAAAACCCCCAAAAAAUCAAAAAAGAACAUAAUGAAGAACAUAAAAAAAAUCCAUAAAAUCAAAUCCACAAGAACUAGAAGAACAUGAAGAACAAGAGAUUAAAAGAGAGCUCACCUACCUUUUCAAAAUUUGUGUCUCUUCCUGCAAAGAUCCAUCAAAACAAACCUAAAUCGAUCAUCCAUUCAAAGAAAUUGAAAGAGUACAACUCAAAUCAAACAAAAUCAUAAGAACUCAAAAAACACGGAGAACAAGAGCAAAAAAUGGAGAUAACCCACAUUUUCGAAGUUUGUCUACACUCUUCUAGUGUUUUUGUUAUGUAAAUAUUCAUCUUAAUAGAGAUAAGAUCCAUCUUGAAGAGGAAAAAAUGA
Molecule: long non-coding RNA, 636 nt
Filed under: Linum usitatissimum (flax)
Lineage: Eukaryota; Viridiplantae; Streptophyta; Magnoliopsida; Malpighiales; Linaceae
Description: long non-coding RNA (LUSI_LNC005650)
Source: RNAcentral